RNAcentral lists this ribosomal RNA (159 nucleotides) under uncultured bacterium. RNAcentral's name for it is "partial 16S ribosomal RNA". It matches the Rfam family "Bacterial small subunit ribosomal RNA", at positions 338 to 489 of the family's 1533-position model. The record is from RNAcentral.
CCUACGGGAGGCAGCAGUGGGGAAUUUUGGACAAUGGGGGCAAGCCUGAUCCAGCCAUGCCGCGUGAGUGAAGAAGGCCUUCGGGUUGUAAAGCUCUUUCAGCCGGGACAGAAAAGGUUGCGNUUAAUANCCGUAAUUNAUGACGGUACCUGGCAAGAA